CCCCCGAAGCAUGUGUUGUCGCCCCGAUGAAAUAUUCUUAGACUAGGUCCCUUAUGUUAGUUGUUUUAGGGACAUUAAAGUGAGAAUAACGGGAAUGGGUAAUUGGGUUAUUGUUGGUUGGUGAAAAUUAAAUAUGAUAUUUAUUGUGGGUUGAAAACCCUAUAUGCUCACCAGGCUCCCAAGCCUGACCCACUCAGUUUUAAAUUGUAUUACAGGUAGUGGCGGAAGGGCAUGAGAUGGAUGAACCAUCAAGUUGUUUUGUUUACAAGUCUGCAUAUGUUUAUAUUUGUUAUAUGACUUGUAAUGUAUUCGUUUAUGCUUAUUGGUCUGUAUCGGAACAUGACACCCCGAGUUUUGAUUAUAAUGAAAAUACAUUUCUUUUAUGAAAUGCUUCGGUAAACAAUGUUUUAUCAUGUUUUGUUUUUGGGAACAAAUUCCGCAACUCUUUCAAAUCAAAAGGAUUUACUCUGAAAAUAUUUAAAAGCAUAAAUGAAAAUCGGUCUUUUCUGGCCGAGAUUUUGGGGAUGUCACAGUUGGUAUCAGAGCAUUAGUUUAAGCGAACUAGGAAUUUGUAGGAUUUCUAGACUUAAACUUAGAAUGCUAAGUGAAGUUUUGAGAUGUGUGUCUGUUGUGUUUUAGACACGAGCACUAGUUUAUUUUAGGAAAGUUGCCUAAAAUGCUUUAUGUGCUAAAUGUUAUAUGUUGCCAUAUAUGAUAUUAUUUGUUCGGAUCUAUGGUCUGUUGCCGACCGGAUCUAGAAACCUUAUGUGUGUAGGAUUCUAAGCGUACGUCUACGAUAUUAGAACUAGCAUGUAAACGUUUCGGAGUGAUAAGGAUGAUUUGAAUAUCUAUCAUGAUUGAGGAUCUAAUUUCACCUUAUUCGGGGUGUAGAUCAAAAUGGUGAGAACAAGAAGUGGAGUUGGAAAUGCUGACGAAAACAGGAAUCAACCACCAGUGAUUGAGCCAAUACCUGUCGUAGCAGCAGCACCUGAGCCAAUAACCAUGGCUGGUGUGCAAUUGAUGAUUCAGACGAUGUUGGAUCGUCAGAUGGAUGAAACUAGACGGUUGCUUCAACAAAAUCGUGAAGAACUGUCGAUUCGUGUGGAAGAGCCUGAAUUAAAUGAAGGGCACUCGGAAGGUGGAAACUUCAGUGGGUCUGUUGGUCCAGCCAACCCACCGAUAGUUAGGCAAGAUAACCAUGAAGGAAGGAAUGAUGGAAUGGGAUGCAAGUACAAGGACUUUUUGACUUGCAAACCAUCGACCUUCAAUGGAAAGGAGGAUCCGAUUGGGGUUAUGGAUUGGAUCUCCGAAAUGGAGUUAGCCUUUAUGACAUGUGGCUGCAGAGGUAAGUUGCAGACUAUCUAUGCCGUGCGACAAUUCCGAGGUGGAGCCGUUCGUUGGUGGAACACUCUAGGGAAGACCUUAAGCCCUAAUGAGCCACUGCAAUUGUCAUGGGCAGAGUUCUUGGUGCAGUUCAAGCGCAAGUUCUGCUCGGCUCAAAAUCUGUUGGAGUUGGAGAAUAAGUUUUUGACAUUGACGAAGGGUAGCAUGUCAGUUGAUGAAUACACCAAUAACUUCACCGAUAAGAUGGAGUUUGCCUUGCGUAUCGUUCCAGACGAGCUGACAAAGGUGGAUCGGUAUGCGAAGGGACUUCCAUGGGAGUACGAGGUGCCGGUACGUCAGGCACUUACUCUAGAGGCAGCUAUCUGGGCUGCCAAGUCUGUGGAGAACAUGAUCAAGGGGAGAACCACCGUCAAGGUUGAGGUUGGUGAGAAAAGGAAGUUUGAAGGAACAUCUGGUUCCAGUAAGAAGAGCAAAUUUUCGAAAUCUGAUUCGAAAAAGUUUGGAGGAAAAGGAGGCGAAGCAAAGUGGUGUGAUAAGUGUAAGAAAAAGCACUUUGGGAAAUGUAGCGAGGAUGUGACCUGCUACAAGUGUGGAAAGGUUGGACAUUUUGCCAAUGAAUGUCCGAACAACAAAAGGAUGUGUUUUGGUUGUAAUGAAGAGGGGCAUAUUUUGAAAGACUGUCCGAAGAAGAAGGAGGCAGCUAGGCCCAACAUUCCACCAAAGCCGAAGGCGAGAGCCUUCCAGAUGACACUUGAGGCUGCGAAAGAUGAAGCUGAUGUCGCUUCAGGUACCUUUCUCGUAAACGAAUUACCUGCUCAUAUAUUGUUUGAUUCUGGAGCCAACUACUCCUUUAUUUCGCAUGAGUUUGGUAGAAAGCUAGCUUUGCCUGUUGAUAGACUAAAUAAUGCUUUAUUAGUCGAAGUAGCUAGUGGCAAGUUUGUACCUGUUAGCCAUCGUAUGAAAAACGUCUUGAUCGACCUUAAUGGGAAUAAGUUUCUCGAGGAAUUAUUGCCUAUCGAACUAAAUGGUUUCGACAUCGUCUUGGGAAUGGAUUGGCUUAGCGCCAAUGAUGCCGAAAUUUUGUGCAAGAAGAAGAUAGUUAAAGUAAACCCGCCUGGAAAAGAUUCGUUUAUGGUGUAUGGGGACAAACGCAGAGUGAAUUCUGGAAUCAUUUCUCUAAUGAAAGCCAGAAAGUGUUUGACCAAGGGAUGUACAUCAUAUUUAGCAUUCGUGAUUGAUGCUAAGAAAGAAAAGAAGGUGAUGCAGAGCAUUCCAGUGGUGUGUGAUUAUCCGGAAGUAUUUCCCGAGGAUCUUCCUGGAUUACCACCUGAUAGACAAGUGGAGUUCAGAAUAGACUUGUUACCAGGAACCACGCCAAUAGCAAAAGCACCUUAUCGAUUAGCACCGACGGAGAUGAAGGAGCUAAUGAUGCAACUUCAGGAGUUAUUGGACAAAGGUUUCAUUAGACCUAGUUCAUCGCCCUGGGGAGCUCCGGUGUUAUUUGUAAAGAAGAAAGAUGGAAGUAUGAGAAUGUGCAUCGAUUACAGAGAGCUGAACAAGGCAACAAUAAAGAAUAGAUAUCCGUUGCCGAGGAUUGAUGACCUGUUUGAUCAAUUGCAAGGUUCGAGCUAUUUCUCGAAGAUCGAUCUUAGGUCAGGAUAUCAUCAGCUGAAAGUAAGAGAGCAAGAUAUCGAGAAGACUGCAUUCAGAACUAGAUAUGGACACUACGAGUUCUUGGUUAUGUCGUUUGGACUAACCAAUGCUCCAGCAGCGUUCAUGGAUUUGAUGAAUAGGGUUUGUAAUCCUUUCCUUGAUAAAUCCGUGAUAGUGUUCAUAGACGACAUUCUGAUCUACUCGAAAAGCCAGGAGGAGCAUGGCAGACACUUGCGAGAAGUGUUAGAAGUUUUGAAGAAGGAGAAGCUUUAUGCGAAGUUCUCCAAAUGUGAUUUUUGGAUUCGUGAAGUCCAAUUCUUGGGUCACGUGGUCAACCAAGAAGGGAUAAUGGUUGAUCCAGCGAAGAUCGAAGCUGUGACGAAGUGGGAACAACCGAAAAGUCCCACGGAGAUUCGAAGCUUUUUAGGAUUAGCCGGAUAUUACCGAAGGUUUAUCCAAGGCUUUUCUUCGAUUGCUACUCCAUUAACAGCUUUGACCCACAAAGGAGCUACUUAUGCUUGGAGUGAGAAGCAUAAAGAAGCAUUCGAGAAGUUAAAGAAGAAGCUAUGCGAGGCACCGAUACUUUCUCUACCCGAUGGAGUUGAAGACUUCGCUGUUUAUAGCGAUGCGUCUGGUGUUGGAUUGGGUUGUGUUUUGACCCAAAGAGAAAAGGUGAUAGCAUAUGCGUCUCGACAGCUGAAAGAGCAUGAAAAGAAUUACCCGACUCAUGAUUUGGAGUUGGCAGCGGUAGUUUUCGCUCUGAAAAUAUGGAGGCAUUACCUCUAUGGCACGAAGUGCAAACUUUUCACUGAUCAUAAGAGUCUCCAAUACCUCUUUAAUCAGAAAGAAUUGAAUAUGAGGCAACGACGCUGGCUAGAAUUACUUAAAGACUACGACUGCGAGAUACUUUACCACCCCGGUAAAGCUAAUGUUGUUGCUGAUGCUCUCAGUCGGAAGGUCAAUCUUGAAAGGAAGAGGCCAAGAGCGUUGAGAAUUGAAGUUGUCUCGACCAUUGUGGAAAGUAUAAAGAAAGCUCAAGAGGAAGCUUCUGAGAAAAAUGACCGAAAGGAGGAACGUUUGGGUAAAACGUUGGUGUUUGGUACUAACGGUCAUGGACUGAAGGUAUUCCAAGAUCGUAUUUGGGUACCUAAGUCAGGAGGAAUUAGAGAUCUUCUGAUGGAAGAAGCUCACAAGACCAUGUACUCGAUUCAUCCGGGUAGCACUAAAAUGUAUAGGGACCUGAAACCCUACUACUGGUGGCCGACGAUGAAGCUUGAUGUUGCAAAGUAUGUGGCCGAGUGUGUGACUUGUGCGAGAGUCAAGACACAACAUCAGAAACCGUACGGGAGUUUAGAACCUUUGCCUGUGCCUAUGGGUAAGUGGGAAGACAUUGCUAUGGAUUUUGUCACUAAACUGCCCAGAACAAAGAAUGGUCACGACAUGAUUUGGGUGGUCGUUGAUCGAUUCACUAAGAGUGCGCAUUUCAUAGCGGCCAGGGAGAAAUGGUCUAUGGAAAAGCUUGCGAAUUCUUACGUGAAGGAAAUUGUGAGGCUUCACGGUGUUCCGUUAACGAUUGUAUCGGAUCGUGAUAGCCGUUUCACCUCAAGGUUUUGGAAAAGUCUACAAGAGGAAAUGGGUACCAAGUUAUGUUUAAGCACAGCUUACCAUCCGCAGACUGAUGGUCAGAGUGAAAGAACAAUACAAACACUUGAAGAUAUGCUGAGAGCAUGUACCUUGGAAUUCCUAGGUAAUUGGGAUGAACAUUUACCGUUGGUAGAAUUUUCCUAUAAUAAUAGUUUUCACUCGAGCAUUAAGAUGGCACCUUAUCAAGCUUUGUAUGGACAGAAGUGUCGUACGCCGUCUUGUUGGCUUGAGGCUGGGGAAAAGCAGUUUAUGGGACCGGAGUUGGUUCAUCAAACUGCUGAAAAGUUGAAAAUAAUUAGGGAAAGAAUGUUAGCAGCUCAAGAUCGUCAAAAGAGCUAUGCUGACAAGAAGCGAAGACCGAUGACUUUUGAGGUUGGAGAUUCGGUUUUGCUUAAAGUCUCGCCGUGGAAGGGACUUAUAAGAUUUGGUAAAAGGGGAAAGUUGAGUCCAAGGUUUAUUGGACCGUUUAGAGUCCUUCAGAGGAUUGGGAAUCAAGCUUACAAGCUCGAAUUACCCGAAGAACUGAAUGGAAUUCACAACACCUUUCAUGUGUGUUAUUUGAGGAAGUUCACGGGAGAAGUUCCCGAUAUAAUUCCAAUUUCUGAAUUGAGAAUUGAUGAGAACAAAAGGUUGAUUGAAGAACCAGAGGCAAUUGUUGACCGAAAGACUAAGAAGUUGCGACGCAAAAUGGUUGGGUUAGUGCUUGUCCGAUGGAAACACACGAAUGGGCCGAAUCUCACCUGGGAGACGGAGAGUGACAUGUUGAGUCGCUAUCCGCAUUUGUUUGUUGAUGUGUGAUUCCGGGGACGGAAUCAUUCUAAGGUGGAGAGAAUUGUAACGCCUGUGUUUCGGGCUUGCCAUUUGUAGCAAUGUAAUAGUCUAGGUUAACCUCUGUAACCCGUUUUGAAAUAAUAAGAUUGUAUUAUUUGAGUAUUGUGUGUUUUGUGCUUAAUUGCUUAAUUAUGUGGUUUGAUUAAUUAAGAAUAAAAAUAAGCGUCAAAAUUUAAGUGUAAAAUAAACUUAAUAUAUUUGGUUAAUGUUGUAGUAGUUGAAACGAGGUUUCCGAAUAUAUAUAGAACGCCCAAAUCUGACUUCGUAUGAGGAAGUUAUGAUUUAUCGAAGUUCCGGCUUAGCGAUAUACAGCCUGUUUUACUCGAUUUGAGAUCGAGCGGUUGUUAGCCGAAGCAAUCUAAAUGAGAAUCGAAGAUCUCAUUGUUGGUAUUGAAACGAUAAAAAGUUAGGCGAGAACGGACGUCAAACGAAGAAGUUAUGAAUUUAUAACGAAAGUUUCUGUCCCGGCCUAUUAAAAAUAAUUAAUAAAAAUAAAGUCAAAAUUAGCCGACGGAGUCUAAACGAAAGUCGUAGAGCGUGGUCUCACCUUCGCGUGGAUAUAAAGAACGUCGAAAACGGAGUUCGUAUGAAGAAGUUAUGAAUUUCCGAAGUUUAUUAAUCAUUUUGUAUUUAUAUUUAAAUCAAAAUUCGGAAGCAUUAUCCGAAGGAGUCACCGAUCUGAUCCGAGGUACGCCCCGCGUACUCGAGUACGCCCCGCGUACUCCGAGGGAUGUCGACACUCGCACUCGAGCACUUCGGAUACGUAAGCAAUGACGUUUUGGGCAGUACGCCCCGCGUAACGCAGUACGCCCCGCGUACUCCGAGGCUCCAGCCUCCUAUAAAUAGGAUGCGAGGGUUCCGGGUAUUUUUGCCAAUUCCCUCUCGUUUUCGUGUCGAAGCUCUGUGCAAAAACCCCCGAAGCUACCCCGAAGCCCCGGUAUCAUACUCUAGCCCCGAGGCAAGUCCCGAGAUCCCGAAGAUCCCGAGAAGUGCGGUUCCCGAGUCGAAGCUCUGCCCGCGAGAAGUUCGAUUUUCGAGAAGAUCUUCCAGAUCUGCUGUGGAUUACUACUUCUAUAAGCCGUAGUGCUGUCCGAUCAUCUUCUGAUCAAGUGAGUGUGUAGUUAUUUCUUCUAAUACAAUAAUACGAAGUAUUUUAUAUAAAAAUACGUGCUAUGUGUAUAUAUUUGGUUGUGUUAUGUGUGAAUGAGUAUUCACUCUCUUCUAUCUUAUAGAUCUGCUUAUUUCUUUAUGAGAUAUGUGUUAUGUGUGUGUGUGCCUCAUCUGUUAUGUGAUAUAUGUGUUGAUUAAAGCAUGCUAUACAGGUUUUCUUUAAACUAUGUAUACAAAUGUAUAUUUUUAUCUACUAAUAUGUUGGGUAGAACAUGGGUAGACAGUUGGUGUGUAAUAAACAGAUGAGAGGCCUCGUUGUUGUUUGAUUGAGUCAUCUAGCGGAGUUUAGAUGACGACCACUGGCUAUUCUAGACAGUCUUGUGGAAACAUUAGCAGGUUCGCCACCUGUAGGUGUUAAUGAACUUGGGUGUUCAUUCGCUGUACUCCAUCCCCCUCAUGGUUGCCUUAUUUGACUUAUAUUGCUGAGGUACCCCCGAAGCAUGUGUUGUCGCCCCGAUGAAAUAUUCUUAGACUAGGUCCCUUAUGUUAGUUGUUUUAGGGACAUAAAGUGAGAAUAACGGGAAUGGGUAAUUGGGUUAUUGUUGGUUGGUGGAAUUAAAUAUAAUUAUUUAUUGUGGGUUGAAAACCCUAUAUGCUCACCAGGCUCCCAAGCCUGACCCACUCAGUUUUAUUUGUAUUACAGGAAGUGGCGCAAGGGCAUAAUAUGGAUGAACCAUCAAGUUGUUUUGUUUACAAGUCUGUAUAUGUAUAUAUUUGUUGAAUGACUUGUAAUGUUAUCGUUUAUGCUUAUUGGUCUGUAUUGGAACAUGACACCCCGAGUUUUGAUUAUAUAAUGAAAAAUACAUUUCUUUUAUGAAAUGCUUUGGUAAACAUUGUUUUAUCAUGUUUUGUUUUUGGGAACAAAUUCCGCAACUCUUUCAAAUCAAAAGGAUUUACUCUGAAAAUAUUUUAAAAGCAUAAAUGAAAAUCGGUCUUUUCUGGCCGAGAUUUUGCGGAUGUCACAUUAGAUGAGCCCAAUAUCUGUACAUAAAGAGGUAGUGGUCGUGACAAGGAUUCCAAAUAUAUAAAGAAUGUCGAAAUCUGAGUUACAACGAAGAAGUUAUGACCAGUCGAAGUUUCGCGACAGAACCGGUACGACACUGCGUGAUGUAAAUAGCGAACUUAAGAUAGAGCGAUUUUUAGCCUUAGC
RNAcentral lists this long non-coding RNA (7792 nucleotides) under Lactuca sativa (garden lettuce). RNAcentral's name for it is "long non-coding RNA (LSAT_LNC002043)". Lineage: Eukaryota; Viridiplantae; Streptophyta; Magnoliopsida; Asterales; Asteraceae. The record is from RNAcentral.